RNAcentral lists this ribosomal RNA (607 nucleotides) under Staphylococcus aureus. RNAcentral describes it as "partial 23S ribosomal RNA". It matches the Rfam family "Bacterial large subunit ribosomal RNA", at positions 1052 to 1660 of the family's 2925-position model. The record is from RNAcentral. Lineage: Bacteria; Bacillati; Bacillota; Bacilli; Caryophanales; Staphylococcaceae.
AUAUAUGUUAAGUGGAAAAGGAUGUGGCGUUGCCCAGACAACUAGGAUGUUGGCUUAGAAGCAGCCAUCAUUUAAAGAGUGCGUAAUAGCUCACUAGUCGAGUGACACUGCGCCGAAAAUGUACCGGGGCUAAACAUAUUACCGAAGCUGUGGAUUGUCCUUUGGACAAUGGUAGGAGAGCGUUCUAAGGGCGUUGAAGCAUGAUCGUAAGGACAUGUGGAGCGCUUAGAAGUGAGAAUGCCGGUGUGAGUAGCGAAAGACGGGUGAGAAUCCCGUCCACCGAUUGACUAAGGUUUCCAGAGGAAGGCUCGUCCGCUCUGGGUUAGUCGGGUCCUAAGCUGAGGCCGACAGGCGUAGGCGAUGGAUAACAGGUUGAUAUUCCUGUACCACCUAUAAUCGUUUUAAUCGAUGGGGGGACGCAGUAGGAUAGGCGAAGCGUGCGAUUGGAUUGCACGUCUAAGCAGUAAGGCUGAGUAUUAGGCAAAUCCGGUACUCGUUAAGGCUGAGCUGUGAUGGGGAGAAGACAUUGAGUCUUCGAGUCGUUGAUUUCACACUGCCGAGAAAAGCCUCUAGAUAGAAAAUAGGUGCCCGUACCGCAAACCGACAC